AUACGGAGGAUCCGAGCGUUAUCCGGAUUUAUUGGGUUUAAAGGGUGCGCAGGCGGCCAUUUAAGUCAGCGGUUAAAUCGUGGGGCUCAACCCCAUUCUGCCGUUGAUACUGGGUGGCUUGAUUGCGGUCGAGGUUGGCGGAAUUCUUUGUGUAGCGGGUGAAUGCAUAGAUAUGACGAAGAACACCGAUUGCGUAGGCAGCUGACCAGACCGCAAAUGACGCUCAUGCACGAAAGUGCGGGGAUCGAACAGGAUUAGAUACCCUGGUAGUCCGCACAGUAAACGAUGAAUACUUGUUUUCGGCGAUAUAAUGUCGGAGGCAAAGCGAAAGCGAUAAGUAUUCCACCUGGGGAGUACGCCGGCAACGGUGAAACUCAAAGGAAUUGACGGGG
RNAcentral lists this ribosomal RNA (392 nucleotides) under uncultured bacterium. Its description in RNAcentral is "partial 16S ribosomal RNA". It matches the Rfam family "Bacterial small subunit ribosomal RNA", at positions 523 to 918 of the family's 1533-position model. The record is from RNAcentral.